Molecule: long non-coding RNA, 1285 nt
Filed under: Brassica rapa (field mustard)
Lineage: Eukaryota; Viridiplantae; Streptophyta; Magnoliopsida; Brassicales; Brassicaceae
Description: long non-coding RNA (BRAP_LNC003524)
Source: RNAcentral
UUUGGGUCAAAUGGGAUGGCAUUUAAAUUCAAUGUAUUAGUAUAUAGAAGCAUGGGUUUCAACACACCAACUAAUACUAUUCUUUUUUAUUUAUUUAACCAACUAAUCCAUUUCGGGUUUAGUAGAGAUUCUCUUAGCAAUUGCUUAAAAUUCUAAAUAUCAGUUAUUUUUUUAUAAAAUAGCGGUAACAUUUCGAUUUCUAUUUUCUUACAAAUAAAUAAAUAAAUAUACGGGGGAGCUCAGAUAUUCAUAGAUAUGUUGAAGAAAGGCUAUAUUUCCUAAAUAAAGUAUACAGUGAUCGAGGCUGGAUCAUAUCAUGGGAUCCAAAACAUAGGAUUCACUGUGCAAACGGCGAGUUCGAUUUUCAAAGGCCGUAUAGUCUCUUUUUGUUUUCUUCUUCUUGGCUUCAAAACUAAUUUAAGUUUUAGUAACUAUUCAGAUAUUCUUUAGCAAUUUGUUUCUGGUCUACCUUUUCUCUAAAAUCGUUUUCUAAGUCGAAAUGAAAAUGAAAACUGAAAAAGUUUUUUUUUUUUUGAAACAAACUGAAAAGUUUCUGUAUUGGAUUUUCUGAACUUAUUCACCAAAUUGGACAAAUAAUAUGCCAGAUUUUUAUUUGGUUUAAUCUUUUUUUUUUUUUUUUUAGAUUUUUAUUUGGUUUAAUCAAAGAUCACCAUCAAUGGUCUGAUCCAUUCUUUACGAUACUUGUAAUCCCGCAAUGAUCACUAAUCAAGCUUACCUUAUUUAAAACAUGCAUUGUUCGAUAGCCAAACUUCCUUUUACUGGUUUUGCGGUUUUGUUUUUUUCUUUGUAUGCCCUCUGAUCGUCCAUCGUCACUUAGCCCGUCUGAAGCAUUUAAGUGCUCAUUGACAGUCUGAAACUCAAUUAAAAAUCCAGCUUAUUCAUUUCAAACUUCAUGAUAAAUAAACUCAAUGUAGAAAUAAACUUCACAUGAUCAUCAAUUUCCUUUGAAAUAAAGAAUUCUAUAGAAGCGGAUCGUUACAUUUCUCUAUCCUAAUAGCGUGGUGGUGGCUUUUUGGUGAAACAGUGAGACGUGGGGGUCAGGUUUGUUUCGUUACAGAACCAUCAUCAUGUGUUUCCCCUCUCCUUGCAGCUUUCUUUGACGAUGAUGGGCAGAGUGUUUGAGGAAGUGCUCUUUGGUGGCCGUGGAGACGAGUCGGUUGUGGGGUGCGGCCUAGUCGAAUUGAUAUAUCGAUGUUUUUACUAGUUUCUAACAUAUGUUUUGAGUAUUUUAUCUAGUCAAAAUAUGUGAGUUUUAAAGUCUUUU